GUACUCACUUUGUCAUCUCUGUAUUCUAAAAUUAGAACAAUACAGAGAUUAGCAUGGCCCCAGCAUAAGGAUGACAUGUAAUUUUUGAUGUAUACUAUGUUUUU
This is a small nuclear RNA of Microtus ochrogaster (prairie vole), 104 nucleotides long. Lineage: Eukaryota; Metazoa; Chordata; Mammalia; Rodentia; Cricetidae. The record is from Ensembl.